CCUGGGUGACAGAGUGAGAUUCUGUCUUGGAAAAAAAAAAAAAAGUUAAUUGCUUUUGAAGUCAUCCCCCUUGAUUCCAGAAGAUCUGUUGUUAGAGGGUGAUUAAUUUUGUUUGUUUGCUUACUUCUGAAGCAUUUCUUUGAACUUGAUCUGUGGGAGUCUAAUCCUGCUAACCUUUCGAGUUCUUUAACCACAAAUUUCCAGCCUCUUUCUGGAUCAGAGUAGUUACAGUCUAUAAGAUGAGGGAAACCCAGUUUUCCAGCUAAGUGACCUCCAUAGGAUUCUGCAAUACAUAGAAAUAUCCAACAUUCCUCUUCCUCAAAGAUAAGAGAAACUGCUGGGGCCCAUUUCUCUCAGCCCAUCCAGAGGUUAUCUGGGAUGUUUAUCCAGGGCAUAGGAAAGCAGAGUUAACUGAUAAUAUUCCUGUAAAAUGGUUGCUGAGGGGAUGUUUAAUGCUGUUACACAGGAAACUGUGCUGAGUAGGGGCUUUUGUUUUCAGAUGAGACUCUGGACAGGAAGUGAAUCUUCAAGGAAGCAACAAAAUUCUACCUUUGGCUUUUGCUGGCUGAGCAGGGAAAGGCCUGUAGUCACAGGGCAUUUUGGGCAAGAGCUAGAACAGCACUCCCUGGAACACUACAUAAAGCAGCCAUAUUUCGCAAAGCAUAGGGAAGAGUGAAAGUCAUCAGGGCACUUGCAGGCACAAAACAGCCCUGAAGCUGAAACACCAGCAUGUACUGGGCAGGACUUGUGAGAUAAGACAGGACAUCCGAAGCUAAACAUGGAUCCCCUCUGAAAGCUACAAUCACAUUGUCAUCCACACAAUCUUAUCUCAAACCUUGACUAGAGAAGGACCUAUUCCAAGAUUACAUCGUUGAAUGAACUCAGUCCUUGCAGCCUGUUGAACUGAGGGCCUCCCCAGCUUACUCACCUGCUUCAUUGAAGUCUGCAAGACAGAGAGAGAGAGUCCACUAGCAAGAGAACACUACAGUCUUAUCUAAUGUAAUCACUGAAGUGGCAUCCUGUCACCUUGGUCACCUUUUCUAUCCCGUUCAUUAUAAAUGAGUCCCAAGUCCUGCCACACUCAAGUGGAGGGGAUUACACACGGCUGGAGUGUCAGGGGUGGGGAUAAUUGGGGGUAAUCUUGGAGUUCUUCCAUCACACAGGCAUUCUCAGCUGACCAAAUCUGGGAUUCUGCAUCUGGCUAUUCCUGAAGCUGGAGGCCUGGCAUAUUUUUUAGUGUCUAUUUGGAUCAGCUAAUAAACCCAGUGUUUGUCUGCUGGCUGGAGGAGUAAAACCUUUAAGGCUAAUUAAAAUGAAUCUACUUAAAACAGUGACCUGAUUUAUCUAAUAAUUACUAGAAGGUAAGGGUUGAUUGAGACUUUAAAAUCAAACCAAAAAUUAUUUUAAGUUUACAUAUUUUAUGUAAGAAAGUUUUUAUUUUUACUGCAAACAUUUUCUAACUAUUAAAGAAUGGAAAAUUCAAGUGUUGAUAUUUUCCCAACAUAUAUUAUAUACAGGAAUAUAAUGUAGCUUCCUUGUAUUUUAUCUUUGAUUUACACAGAGAAUUUUUAUACAAAUAUUCCAGGCUCAUUAGUUUUCCCAAAGGCUUCUCGAAAUCCUUUGAUAUUUAAAUCAUUCCCUCUUUAAAGUCAUAUUUUAUCUUACUUGUCAAUACUCUUUUUGUUAAUUUGCCCACCUCAUCUGGAUCUUCCUUUGUCACUGACUUCGUAGAUUUGACUACUUCAACAACGCUCCUAGAAACUUUGUGAAAUCCUUUGUCUUUUGCAAGAUUUAAAAAUUUCCUUUAUAAUAAGCAAUCUAUAGUAAGUGAAGACUCACUAGCAAAUAUAUAUAAGUGAUGGAUCAAGAGAGACAAAGUGUUAAACAUGGAGAGAUGCAAUUUGUAAAAGUGAAAUUCUUAAUUACACUCUAACAAAAUGAGUCCAGGGCCUGUAUGCUGGACACUACAAAACAGUAAUGAAAGGAAUCAAAGAGGGCAUAAAUAAAUGGGGAGAUCUACCAUGUUCAUGAAUUGGAAGUCUCAGAAUUAUUAAAAUAUAAAUUAUUUCCAAAUUGAUCUAUAGAUUCAACCCAAUCACAAUCAAAAUCCUAACUGGCUUUUUUGUAUAAAUUGACAAGCUGAUUCCAACAUUCACAUACAAAUCCAAAGAAUGCAGAAGAGCCAAACAGCUUUGAGAAAGAACAAAGCUAAAGGAUUCACAUUAUCUGAUUCCAAAACUUCUUAUAAAGCUACAGUCAUCAAGUCAAUAUGGUACCAGCAAAAGAAGAGACACAUUCUAUGUAUCUAACUAUAGAUCUAUGUAGAAUAUAAUACAGAGUUCAGAAAUACAUCCACAAAUAAGAUCAAUUGAAUUUUGCCAAACAUGAAAAAACAAUUCAGUGGAGAAAGGACAGAAUUUUCAACAAAUCAUGCUGAAACAAUUAGACAUCCAUAUGCAGGAAAAAAAUCUUUGACCUAUAUGUUCAUUUUAUACAAAAAAUUAAUUCAAAACAAUCAUAGACCUAAGUGUAAAAUAUAAAAACCUUUAAACUUUUAAAAUAAAAUAUAGGUAAAAUCUUCAUGACCUACGGUUAGGCAGAGUUUUUGGAGAUGACACUGAGAACUUAAUUCA
Molecule: non-coding RNA, 2633 nt
Organism: Saimiri boliviensis boliviensis (Bolivian squirrel monkey)
Lineage: Eukaryota; Metazoa; Chordata; Mammalia; Primates; Cebidae
Source: RefSeq, a predicted model, not a curated record